This is a non-coding RNA of Podarcis muralis (Common wall lizard), 1274 nucleotides long. Lineage: Eukaryota; Metazoa; Chordata; Lepidosauria; Squamata; Lacertidae. The record is from RefSeq and is a predicted model, not a curated record.
UCACUUACGGGCUCAUUGUUAAAACCGUGUUUAUGGAAGACAAUCUUACUCGGCUACGAGUGAUCGCCAAAGAAGAAGAAGAAGGAAGACAUAUCAAGGACAAUCUGGGGUGAGGAUGAGAGCACUAUUAAAGGAUUAGAAAUGGUGCAAAACCAAUUUCUCAAGAGACUGUUUUCCGCACCCAAGGGAACAGCAUCCGAACUCUUACACAUGGAAUGUGGAUGGUCAACAUUAACUGCAAGAGCUAUUUGCACCUGGUUUAAUUAGCUGAAAAUACUUGUUAUGCGGAAUUGGUGAACAGCCGGUAGUGGAAAUCUAACACACAAUAUUAUUUGAACUCUUUAUUAUUUCCCUAAGAUAGAGGAGAUUAUAUCUACAGACAAAUGUCAUCUAAGGGAUUGGUGCCACUGGACAGAAUCACUACAUGAUCUGCAAGCGAUUAAAUUCUCUAAAUGCUCUCCUUGGUUCCCUCUUCUAAAAACAGUCCAUUUUAGAGCCAGUUACCUGUCAAAUCUCUGGCCAGCCUCACUUAGAUUUGCUUUUGCUUAGCUGCAUUUUCAAGUUAUGCCCUCCACUGUCCUGGACAGAUAAUAUAACAGGGUACCGUACGAAGAUAAGACUCUGAAUAUGUGGGCAUCUGCAGGUGGAAGACAUCUUGCACUAUUUACUAUAUUACUAUUUACUAUACCUUGGACCCAGGAGGCAAUUUCUCACCUUACAGGAAAUUUGUCUCCCCCCAACAGAGAAGAAAAGAUCAGAAAGAAGACCCUGGACAAUAUAGCACUGAACUGUAAGGGAGACACAGAGAUCUAAAGAGAGACCAUUAUUUGUGGCACGACACCCCUUUUGCUUGUAUUUAUUUUUUAAUCAGAUUUGCCAUGGCCAAUGGCUAGUACAACAACAUUUGGACAGGACAUACCGAGGACAAAAAUGCCUAUUGUUUCCCAUCCUUGGAUGAUGUGGCAUGUCAGGUGAGGUAGGAAAAGGCCCGCCCAUUGGUCUCUCUAGCAACCUCUUAGGGCAUGCAAAUAGCAACCCAGGCCAGUACCAUAAGCAAGGGACUGGUUUGACUGGUUUAGCAGGUUUCCUCUCAUGAAAUCUAACCCCACAUACACAGGAUCUCAGGUUUGGAAGGGACCCACAGGUGCAAUCCAGACUGACACCCACAAACCUGUAACAAUAUGCUACUCUGAUUAGCAAAACAAGUUGCUGUUGUUUUAUUCCAAAAAACUGAAACAUUUUCAACACACAAAAAUAAACCUUUAUUAAUCACA